RNAcentral lists this ribosomal RNA (254 nucleotides) under uncultured bacterium. Its description in RNAcentral is "partial 16S ribosomal RNA". It matches the Rfam family "Bacterial small subunit ribosomal RNA", at positions 524 to 776 of the family's 1533-position model. The record is from RNAcentral.
UACGUAGGGUGCGAGCGUUAAUCGGAAUUACUGGGCGUAAAGCGUGCGCAGGCGGUUUUGUAAGCCAGAUGUGAAAUCCCCGGGCUUAACCUGGGAAUGGCAUUUGGGACUGCAAGGCUUGAGUGCGGCAGAGGAGACUGGAAUUCCCGGUGUAGCAGUGAAAUGCGUAGAUAUCUGGAGGAACACCGGUGGCGAAGGCGGCAUCCUGGACCAACACUGACGCUGAGUGAGCGAAAGCGUGGGGAGCGAUCCGG